Molecule: ribosomal RNA, 572 nt
Filed under: Lepidion eques (North Atlantic codling)
Lineage: Eukaryota; Metazoa; Chordata; Actinopteri; Gadiformes; Moridae
Description: partial 16S ribosomal RNA
Rfam family: Bacterial large subunit ribosomal RNA
Source: RNAcentral
CACCUCUUGUUACACAAAAUAUAAGAGGCCCCGCCUGCCCUGUGACAAUAAGUUUAACGGCCGCGGUAUUUUAACCGUGCGAAGGUAGCGUAAUCACUUGUCUUUUAAAUGGAGACCAGUAUGAAUGGCAUCACGAGGGCUUAACUGUCUCCCCUCUCCAGUCAAUGAAAUUGACCUUCCCGUGCAGAGGCGGGAAUAUUAAUAUAAGACGAGAAGACCCUGUGGAGCUUUAGACCUAAAAUAAGCCACGUCUAGUAUACUGAAAUACCAGCAAAAGCCUAGUGGUUACAUAUUGAAGUGUCUUUGGUUGGGGCGACCGCGGGGUAAAACACAACCCCCUUGUGGACUGGGGAUAUUAUCCCUAAUACUCAGAGCCUCUACUCCAAGUAACAGAAAUUCUGACUUUCUGAUCCGGUAUUACCGAUCAACGAACCGAGUUACCCCAGGGAUAACAGCGCAAUCCCCUCUCAGAGCCCUUAUCGACGAGGGGGUUUACGACCUCGAUGUUGGAUCAGGACAUCCUAAUGGUGCAGCCGCUAUUAAGGGUUCGUUUGUUCAACGAUUAAAGUCCU